UCUUUGGAACUGGAGAUACAUUGGGAGCAGUAACUACGACUGCAAAUAUGGGAUUUGUGAGAGCAGCAGAACACCAGGGGGUGUCCUUUGCUGUCUAUAGACAUUCCUCUCGAGCUCUGACAGAAGAAAAGGAGAAAAAUGCAACACCACUAGAUGGUAUACAUGAUAAUGUCCCAAGUUCUGUUGACAAAUGUUGAUAAUCUGUCCUGCUGUCAAGCAAUCCAGAAAUAGGAGAAAAGGCCACUCUGCAGAAUGACCAGUAAUGGUGCUAAUCAUGACAAAAUGUGAGAGGAAAAUGCAGCACUGCUUGGCAACACUGUGUUAUAUGCUCUGAUGAAAGACAAGAGUGAAAAUGGCUUCAUUUUAAGAAGAAGCGAUGAAAAAGGCUUCACUUCUGAAUGUGUAGUGUUCCACACUCAAAAAAGAUAACUCCUGAAUGUGUAGUGUUCCACACUCAAAAAAGAUAACUCCUGAAUGUGUAGUGUUCUAAACUCGAAAAAGAUAACUCCUGAAUGUGUAGUGUUCUAAACUCGAAAAAGAUAACUCCUGAAUGUGUAGUGUUCUAAACUCAAAAAAGAUAACUCCUGAAUGUGUAGUGUUCUAAACUCUAAAAAGAUAACUCCUGAAUGUGUAGUGUUCUAAACUCUAAAAAGAUAACUCCUGAAUGUGUAGUGUUCUAAACUCAAAAAUAACAAAGAAGUAAGUGACUGGCAAACAACCCACACAACCAAUAUGACCAGAUAAGAAACAAGCAUUAAAGACCUAACUACAUUCUGUACCUUUAAUGAUAUGCUUUUGAAGAUUUGAAUGAGGACUUGUGAAAAAUAUUCACAAGAAGGGUGUCUUCGGGAUGUUUGCAAAGACUUUUGAUUUGAUUUGAUAUUUUUGAAGGGUCUUUAUGAUUUUGGUUUGCUUUUAAUAUUUUGUUCAUAAGUUUUUAAAGAGUUGAAAAUUAUUACAAUUGAUGAUCAUUAAAAUGUUUUUAAAAAUCUCUAAAUACCAACAUUGGAAUGUAUUGACAAACUGAAGUAUCUUAAUUAGCAAAAUUCUAAUCAACGAACAUGUUAGUAUCUUAACCAGCAGGUUCUACUUUACUCACAAACAAAAUUAUAUCCUUUAACAGUUGCACAAAUGAAAUCAAUCCAGUUGAAA
Molecule: long non-coding RNA, 1152 nt
Organism: Ylistrum balloti
Lineage: Eukaryota; Metazoa; Mollusca; Bivalvia; Pectinida; Pectinidae
Exons: 2
Source: RefSeq, a predicted model, not a curated record